UACCAUGAUUGGUAAAAAGCAACC
This 24-nucleotide non-coding RNA is filed under the name Rattus norvegicus (Norway rat). The record is from RNAcentral. Lineage: Eukaryota; Metazoa; Chordata; Mammalia; Rodentia; Muridae.